This 42-nucleotide ribosomal RNA is filed under the name Frullania sp. B BlS-2016. Its description in RNAcentral is "partial 5.8S ribosomal RNA". The record is from RNAcentral. Lineage: Eukaryota; Viridiplantae; Streptophyta; Jungermanniopsida; Porellales; Frullaniaceae.
AAAUGGACUCUCAGCAACGGAUAUCUUGGCCUCUUGCAACGA